GCGAAGGCCGGGCCAGCGGCCGCGGGAAGACGGAGGGUGCGAGCGUGUAUCGGAAGUACGUGGCGUAAGGCGUGCGCAGGCGGUUUGUUAAGCGAGAUGUGAAAGCCCUGGGCUCAACCUAGGAAUAGCAUUUCGAACUGGCGAACUAGAGUCUGGUAGAGGGGGGUAGAAUUCCAGGUGUAGCGGUGAAAUGCGUAGAGAUCUGGAGGAAUACCGGGGGCGAAGGCGGCCCCCUGGACAAAGACUGACGCUCAUGCACGAAAGCGUGGGGAGCAAACAGGAUUAGAUACCCGAGUAGUC
Molecule: ribosomal RNA, 300 nt
Filed under: uncultured Chondromyces sp.
Lineage: Bacteria; Pseudomonadati; Myxococcota; Polyangiales; Polyangiaceae
Description: bacterial SSU rRNA
Rfam family: Bacterial small subunit ribosomal RNA
Source: RNAcentral